Molecule: ribosomal RNA, 216 nt
Filed under: uncultured bacterium
Lineage: Bacteria
Description: partial 16S ribosomal RNA
Rfam family: Bacterial small subunit ribosomal RNA
Source: RNAcentral
ACGCUCGACACCUACGAGGCAGCAGUGAGGAAUAUUGGUCAAUGAGCGCUAGCCUGAACCAGCCAAGUAGCGUGAAGGAUGAAGGCUCUAUGGGUCGUAAACUUCUUUUAUAUAAGAAUAAAGUGCAGUAUGUAUACUGUUUUGUAUGUAUUAUAUGAAUAAGGAUCGGCUAACUCCGUGCCAGCAGCCACGGUAAUCUGAGCGGGCUGGCAAGGC